Molecule: ribosomal RNA, 1346 nt
Filed under: uncultured bacterium
Lineage: Bacteria
Description: bacterial SSU rRNA
Rfam family: Bacterial small subunit ribosomal RNA
Source: RNAcentral
GACGAACGCUGUCGGCGUGCUUAACACAUGCAAGUCGAACGGAAAGGCCCUGCUUUUGUGGGGUGCUCGAGUGGCGAACGGGUGAGUAACACGUGAGUAACCUGCCCUUGACUUUGGGAUAACUUCAGGAAACUGGGGCUAAUACCGGAUAGGAGCUCCUGCUGCAUGGUGGGGGUUGGAAAGUUUCGGCGGUUGGGGAUGGACUCGCGGCUUAUCAGCUUGUUGGUGGGGUAGUGGCUUACCAAGGCUUUGACGGGUAGCCGGCCUGAGAGGGUGACCGGCCACAUUGGGACUGAGAUACGGCCCAGACUCCCACGGGAGGCAGCAGUGGGGAAUAUUGCACAAUGGGCGGAAGCCUGAUGCAGCAACGCCGCGUGCGGGAUGACGGCCUUCGGGUUGUAAACCGCUUUCGCCUGUGACGAAGCGUGAGUGACGGUAAUGGGUAAAGAAGCACCGGCUAACUACGUGCCAGCAGCCGCGGUGAUACGUAGGGUGCGAGCGUUGUCCGGAUUUAUUGGGCGUAAAGGGCUCGUAGGUGGUUGAUCGCGUCGGAAGUGUAAUCUUGGGGCUUAACCCUGAGCGUGCUUUCGAUACGGGUUGACUUGAGGAAGGUAGGGGAGAAUGGAAUUCCUGGUGGAGCGGUGGAAUGCGCAGAUAUCAGGAGGAACACCAGUGGCGAAGGCGGUUCUCUGGGCCUUUCCUGACGCUGAGGAGCGAAAGCGUGGGGAGCGAACAGGCUUAGAUACCCUGGUAGUCCACGCUGUAAACGGUGGGUACUAGGUGUGGGGUCCAUUCCACGGGUUCCGUGCCGUAGCUAACGCUUUAAGUACCCCGCCUGGGGAGUACGGCCGCAAGGCUAAAACUCAAAGGAAUUGACGGGGCCCCGCACAAGCGGCGGAGCAUGCGGAUUAAUUCGAUGCAACGCGUAGAACCUUACCUGGGUUUGACAUGGAUCGGGAGUGCUCAGAGAUGGGUGUGCCUCUUUUGGGGUCGGUUCACAGGUGGUGCAUGCCUGUCGUCAGCUCGUGUCGUGAGAUGUUGGGUUAAGUCCCGCAACGAGCGCAACCCUUGUUCACUGUUGCCAGCACGUUAUGGUGGGGACUCAGUGGAGACCGCCGGGGUCAACUCGGAGGAAGGUGGGGAUGACGUCAAGUCCUCAUGCCCCUUAUGUCCAGGGCUUCACGCAUGCUACAAUGGCUGGUACAGAGAGUGGCGAGCCUGUGAGGGUGAGCGAAUCUCGGAAAGCCGGUCUCAGUUCGGAUUGGGGUCUGCAACUCGACCUCAUGAAGUCGGAGUCGCUAGUAAUCAAAGAUCAGCAACGCUGCGGUGAAUACGUUCCCGGGGCC